AGUGGCGCGAAGCUACAGUGUGCUGGAUUAUGACUCAACGCCUCUAAAUCAGAAUCCGGACUAGAAGCGACGCAUGCGCCCGCCGUCCGCUUGCCGACCCGCAGUAGGGGCCUAUGGCCCCCAAGGGCACGUGUUGUUGGCUAAGUCGCCGCAACAUAAGCGUCGCGGUGACCGCCUUGAAGUACAAUUUCCAUGGAGCAGCGGGUAGAAUCCUUUGCAGACGACUUAAAUACGUGACGGGGUAUUGUAAGUGGCAGAGUGGCCUUACAACCACGAUCUACUGAGAUUCAGCCCUUUGCCGCUCCUAUUC
RNAcentral lists this non-coding RNA (310 nucleotides) under Solanum lycopersicum (tomato). RNAcentral describes it as "Eukaryotic large subunit ribosomal RNA". It matches the Rfam family "Eukaryotic large subunit ribosomal RNA", at positions 3087 to 3399 of the family's 3401-position model. Lineage: Eukaryota; Viridiplantae; Streptophyta; Magnoliopsida; Solanales; Solanaceae. The record is from Rfam by way of RNAcentral.